Molecule: microRNA, 21 nt
Filed under: Eptesicus fuscus (big brown bat)
Lineage: Eukaryota; Metazoa; Chordata; Mammalia; Chiroptera; Vespertilionidae
Description: efu-miR-9312
Source: miRBase by way of RNAcentral
AACACCAUGUUGUGCUUGAGC